RNAcentral lists this ribosomal RNA (492 nucleotides) under uncultured bacterium. RNAcentral describes it as "partial 16S ribosomal RNA". It matches the Rfam family "Bacterial small subunit ribosomal RNA", at positions 29 to 507 of the family's 1533-position model. The record is from RNAcentral.
AGUGAACGCUGGCGGUAGGCCUAACACACGCAAGUCGAACGGCAGCACAGUAAGAGCUUGCUCUUACGGGUGGCGAGUGGCGGACGGGUGAGGAAUACAUCGGAAUCUACUUUUUCGUGGGGGAUAACGUAGGGAAACUUACGCUAAUACCGCAUACGACCUACGGGUGAAAGCAGGGGAUCUUCGGACCUUGCGCGAUUGAAUGAGCCGAUGUCGGAUUAGCUAGUUGGCGGGGUAAAGGCCCACCAAGGCGACGAUCCGUAGCUGGUCUGAGAGGAUGAUCAGCCACACUGGAACUGAGACACGGUCCAGACUCCUACGGGAGGCAGCAGUGGGGAAUAUUGGACAAUGGGCGCAAGCCUGAUCCAGCCAUGCCGCGUGGGUGAAGAAGGCCUUCGGGUUGUAAAGCCCUUUUGUUGGGAAAGAAAAGCAGCAGGUUAAUACCCCGCUGUUCUGACGGUACCCAAAGAAUAAGCACCGGCUAACUUCGUG